Molecule: long non-coding RNA, 555 nt
Filed under: Medicago truncatula (barrel medic)
Lineage: Eukaryota; Viridiplantae; Streptophyta; Magnoliopsida; Fabales; Fabaceae
Description: long non-coding RNA (MTRU_LNC002565)
Source: RNAcentral
ACUAACCAAAAAAAACCUAAAUCGAAACAUAUCUUAGAAAUUAGGGGUUUUUUUGGUUAGUCUGUUGAAUAAAGUGGAUUCUUUGUACCCACAUGUUUUAUUCCUUGUUUAUUUCAUGGUUGAGCAUAGGGGGUAGGUCUAAAACUGUCAUUUCUCUGCGUUUUUGGAGAAUAAAAUGGGGAGUAGGACGAAAAAUGCAGCAAAAAUGAUACUUGAAGGACCGUUUUGUUCUGUUUUAAAAAGGCAGGAUCAGUUUCAUGAGUAGGCCAAAACACGAGGACCAAAAGUGUAAUUAAGCCAAUACUUUAUUGUGCAAAUGAUGAUAGUAAGGAUCGUCCUAAACGUUGAAUGAACAAUUUUCGAACAAACUAUGUAUAGGGUAUGUAAUGACGUUGUAAACCUCCCCCUGUAACGCCCUCUUUGAAUUAUUUAAUUAUUUAAAUGUGUCUAGAAUUUAUUAAGAUGGGUUUAGAAUAUAUUUAUAUGAUAUGUGUGAUUUAAGGUGAUUUAUAUGAUUUUUAUGAUCGAUGUAAUUUUAUGAGAUUUAAUGAGGAG